Molecule: ribosomal RNA, 462 nt
Filed under: uncultured bacterium
Lineage: Bacteria
Description: partial 16S ribosomal RNA
Rfam family: Bacterial small subunit ribosomal RNA
Source: RNAcentral
GACGAACGCUGGCGGCGUGCUUAACACAUGCAAGUCGAACGGAAAGGCCUUUUCGGAGGUACUCGAGUGGCGAACGGGUGAGUAACACGUGGGUGAUCUGCCCUGCACUCUGGGAUAAGCCUGGGAAACUGGGUCUAAUACCGGAUAGGACCGCACUUUAGUGUGUGUGGUGGAAAGUUUUUUCGGUGUAGGAUGAGCCCGCGGCCUAUCAGCUUGUUGGUGGGGUAAUGGCCUACCAAGGCGGCGACGGGUAGCCGGACUGAGAGGUUGGUCGGCCACAUUGGGACUGGGAUACGGCCCAGACUCCUACGGGAGGCAGCAGUGGGGAAUAUUGCACAAUGGGCGCAAGCCUGAUGCAGCGACGCCGCGUGGGGGAUGACGGCCUUCGGGUUGUAAACUCCUUUCGCCAGGGACGAAGCGUUUUGUGACGGUACCUGGAGAAGAAGCACCGGCUAACUACGU